Molecule: long non-coding RNA, 237 nt
Filed under: Urocitellus parryii (Arctic ground squirrel)
Lineage: Eukaryota; Metazoa; Chordata; Mammalia; Rodentia; Sciuridae
Description: lncRNA (ENSUPAG00010000426.1)
Source: RNAcentral
CACGGCCCUCCUCCUCCCUGCAGGAUCUUCCUCCUCUGCUGUCCAACUGCUCCAACGCCCCUGAGCCGCCCAGAGCCUCCUCCUUGCUGGAUCCUCCUCCUCCUCCUCCCGCAGAUGAAUUUGCAGAAAUAACCUGACCACAGAAAUUCCGUGUGACCAGAAGCGUUGGUAUGGCAAGGCUGCACGUUCUUUUUUUAAUGUGAUGAAGAAAUGGAAUCCGAUGCAUUAAAGUCCCAC